GAUGAAUGCCAGCCGUUGGUCUGCUUGCAGGUCAGUGGCGCCGCUAACGCAUUAAGCAUUCCGCCUGGGGAGUACGGUCGCAAGAUUAAAACUCAAAGGAAUUGACAGGGGCCCGCACAAGCGGUGGAGCAUGUGGUUUAAUUCGAAGCAACGCGCAGAACCUUACCAUCCCUUGACAUGGCAUGUUACCUCGAGAGAUCGGGGAUCCUCUUCGGAGGCGUGCACACAGGUGCUGCAUGGCUGUCGUCAG
This 250-nucleotide ribosomal RNA is filed under the name uncultured bacterium. RNAcentral describes it as "partial 16S ribosomal RNA". It matches the Rfam family "Bacterial small subunit ribosomal RNA", at positions 808 to 1058 of the family's 1533-position model. The record is from RNAcentral.